Molecule: microRNA, 22 nt
Filed under: Ornithorhynchus anatinus (platypus)
Lineage: Eukaryota; Metazoa; Chordata; Mammalia; Monotremata; Ornithorhynchidae
Description: Oan-Mir-1421-P27_3p* (star (passenger))
Source: RNAcentral
UGCAUCACGUGUGACCUCCCCA